UACGGAGGGUGCAAGCGUUAAUCGGAAUUACUGGGCGUAAAGCGCACGCAGGCGGUCUGUCAAGUCGGAUGUGAAAUACCCGGGCUCAACUUGGGUGCUGCAUUCCAAACUGGAUAUCUUGAGUGAAGUAGAGGUAGGUGGAAUUCCCGGUGUAGCGGUGAAAUGCGUAGAGAUCGGGAGGAACACCAGUGGCGAAGGCGGCCUACUGGGCAAAGACUGACGCUCAGGUGCGAAAGCGUGGGGAGCAAAC
This 250-nucleotide ribosomal RNA is filed under the name uncultured bacterium. RNAcentral's name for it is "partial 16S ribosomal RNA". It matches the Rfam family "Bacterial small subunit ribosomal RNA", at positions 524 to 773 of the family's 1533-position model. The record is from RNAcentral.